This 520-nucleotide ribosomal RNA is filed under the name uncultured Glomus. Its description in RNAcentral is "SSU rRNA". It matches the Rfam family "Eukaryotic small subunit ribosomal RNA", at positions 569 to 1093 of the family's 1831-position model. The record is from RNAcentral. Lineage: Eukaryota; Fungi; Glomeromycota; Glomeromycetes; Glomerales; Glomeraceae.
AGCAGCCGCGGUAAUUCCAGCUCCAAUAGCGUAUAUUAAAGUUGCUGCAGUUAAAAAGCUCGUAGUUGAAUUUCGGGAUCAAUAUGUUGGUCGUGCCUCGGUACGUACUAGCUUAUUGGUUUCUCCCUUCUGACGAACCAUGAUGUCAUUUAUUUGGUGUUAUGGGAAAUCAGGACUGUUACUUUGAAAAAAUUAGAGUGUUUAAAGCAGGCUCACGCUUGAAUACAUUAGCAUGGAAUAAUGAAAUAGGACGUUUGAUUCUAUUUUGUUGGUUUCUAGGAUCGACGUAAUGAUUAAUAGGGAUAGUUGGGGGCAUUAGUAUUCAAUUGUCAGAGGUGAAAUUCUUGGAUUUAUUGAAGACUAACUACUGCGAAAGCAUUUGCCAAGGAUGUUUUCAUUAAUCAAGAACGAAAGUUAGGGGAUCGAAGACGAUCAGAUACCGUCGUAGUCUUAACCAUAAACUAUGCCGACUAGGGAUCGGAUGAUGUUAAUUUUUAAUGACUCAUUCGGCGCCUUAACC